This 497-nucleotide ribosomal RNA is filed under the name uncultured bacterium. RNAcentral describes it as "partial 16S ribosomal RNA". It matches the Rfam family "Bacterial small subunit ribosomal RNA", at positions 28 to 507 of the family's 1533-position model. The record is from RNAcentral.
GACGAACGCUGGCGGCGUGCCUAAUACAUGCAAGUUGAGCGAUGAAGAUUGGUGCUUGCACCAAUUUGAAGAGCAGCGAACUGGUGAGUAACGCGUGGGGAAUCUGCCUUUGAGCGGGGGACAACAUUUGGAAACGAAUGCUAAUACCGCAUAACAACUUUAAACAUAAGUUUUAAGUUUGAAAGAUGCAAUUGCAUCACUCAAAGAUGAUCCCGCGUUGUAUUAGCUAGUUGGUGAGGUAAAGGCUCACCAAGGCGAUGAUACAUAGCCGACCUGAGAGGGUGAUCGGCCACAUUGGGACUGAGACACGGCCCAAACUCCUACGGGAGGCAGCAGUAGGGAAUCUUCGGCAAUGGACGAAAGUCUGACCGAGCAACGCCGCGUGAGUGAAGAAGGUUUUCGGAUCGUAAAACUCUGUUGGUAGAGAAGAACGUUGGUGAGAGUGGAAAGCUCAUCAAGUGACGGUAACUACCCAGAAAGGGACGGCUAACUACGUG